UGAAAGUUUUGGUCCUAGACUUUCUGUUAUUUAUGAUUAAGACUAUACAUGCAAGAAUCCCCCACUCCGGUGAGUCCGCCCAAUCACCACUGGAGCAGGUAUCAGGCACCGACCGUCAGCCAAAAACGCCAAGAACCCCCACACUCACACGGGUAUACAGCAGUGAUCAACAUUAGGCCAUGAGUUACACUCGACCUAACUACAAUCUGAAGGGCCGGCAAACUUCGUGCCAGCCGCCGCGGUUAUACGAAACUGGCCCCCAAUAACGAACAGCGGCAUAAAGCGUGAAUACACUUUUCAACACACUAUACACCAACUUUCCCCAUGCGUAAAACCAAAGAGGUCACUUAAAACCAACAUGAGUCUAACCCAAGAAACUUUAACUCACGAAAGCUAGGGAACAAACUAGGAUUAGAUACCCUACUAUGCCCAGCCAUAAGCCCUAAACACCUCAUCCGCCAGAAGACAACGAGCAAAGCUUAAAACUCAAAGGACUUGGCGGCACCCCAUACCGCCCUAGAGGGGCCUGUCAUAUAAUCGAUAACCCACGAUAAACCCGACCCCCCUUAGCCGACUCAGCCUAUAUACCGCCGUCGCCAGCCCAUCUUAAAAAGAAGCGUAAUGGACAAAACAGUCUUGCACUAACACGACAGGUCAAGGUGUAGCCCAUGGGGGGGGAACUGAUGGACCACAUUGCUAUCAAAAGCCAAACCAAAAUUACACUGAAAACAUAAUUUAAGGUGAAUUUAGCAGUAAGAAGAACAAGAAAAUUUAUCUGAAAAAUGCCCUGGGGUGUGCACACACCGCCCGUCACCCUACUUUACCACCAAACAAGAAAAAUAUAUUACACAACACUUCAUCGAGAGUAGGAAAGUCGUAACAAGGUAAGCGCACCGGAAGGUGCGCUUGGAAGA
This 914-nucleotide non-coding RNA is filed under the name Rieppeleon kerstenii. Its description in RNAcentral is "12S rRNA". It matches the Rfam family "Bacterial small subunit ribosomal RNA". Lineage: Eukaryota; Metazoa; Chordata; Lepidosauria; Squamata; Chamaeleonidae. The record is from RNAcentral.